CCUACGGGAGGCUGCAGUGAGGAAUAUUGGUCAAUGGACGAGAGUCUGAACCAGCCAAGUAGCGUGAAGGAUGACUGCCCUAUGGGUUGUAAACUUCUUUUAUAUGGGAAUAAAACGUUCCACGUGUGGGAUUUUGUAUGUACCAUAUGAAUAAGGAUCGGCUAACUCCGUGCCAGCAGCCGCGGUAAUACGGAGGAUCCGAGCGUUAUCCGGAUUUAUUGGGUUUAAAGGGAGCGUAGGUGGAUUGUUAAGUCAGUUGUGAAAGUUUGCGGCUCAACCGGAAAAUUGCAGUUGAAACUGGCAGUCUUGAGUACAGUAGAGGUGGGCGGAAUGCGUGGUGUAGCGGUGAAAUGCUUAGAUAUCACGAAGAACUCCGAUUGCGAAGGCAGUUCACUGGACUGCAACUGACACUGAGGCUCGAAAGUGUGGGUAUCAAACAGGAUUAGAUACCCUUGUAGUC
RNAcentral lists this ribosomal RNA (460 nucleotides) under uncultured bacterium. RNAcentral describes it as "partial 16S ribosomal RNA". It matches the Rfam family "Bacterial small subunit ribosomal RNA", at positions 338 to 795 of the family's 1533-position model. The record is from RNAcentral.